CGAUGGAGGGGGAUAACUACUGGAAACGGUAGCUAAUACCGCAUAACGUCGCAAGACCAAAGAGGGGGACCUUCGGGCCUCUUGCCAUCGGAUGUGCCCAGAUGGGAUUAGCUAGUAGGUGGGGUAAAGGCUCACCUAGGCGACGAUCCCUAGCUGGUCUGAGAGGAUGACCAGCCACACUGGAACUGAGACACGGUCCAGACUCCUACGGGAGGCAGCAUG
Molecule: ribosomal RNA, 222 nt
Filed under: uncultured bacterium
Lineage: Bacteria
Description: partial 16S ribosomal RNA
Rfam family: Bacterial small subunit ribosomal RNA
Source: RNAcentral